Lactuca sativa (garden lettuce) is the source of this 2440-nucleotide long non-coding RNA. RefSeq lists it as uncharacterized. The record is from RefSeq and is a predicted model, not a curated record. NCBI's taxonomy places the organism in Eukaryota, Viridiplantae, Streptophyta, Magnoliopsida, Asterales, Asteraceae.
UUAUUUUUUUUCCUUUCUCACUAAUUUGCUUUUAAUUUUAUUUUGCCACCUGCUUCUCUCUCCCUCUUCUCCUUCCCAUUUGCCCCCACGUAUCUUCCACCUCCUAUGCCCCGUGUUUUAGAAGUCAAUAGAAAUCUAAUUAGUGCCCACCGCCACCUCUUCACCGCUUCUUGUAUCCAUUUCAGCUCCAUCCUACCACUUUUCUAAACCGAUUGAACGAUAAUCUCCUUUCGCUCUAAGGUUUAUUACCCCUCUACUUUUAACGAUUAUUGUUCCAAUCCACCUUCACUUAUCGUCUUCUUGACCAUCUCUCUUCACCUUCUACUCUGCCAUCACAGUCUCUCUUACGAGCCUCCUUCCAGUUUUUUCCACCCCUACCUUUUUCGUCUCUUCCGAUCCAUCUUCUUCCCCGAUUUUGCGUCAUCCCUGCAACGUGUUCGUCCUACGGUUCUUAUGCAUUGCAAUCAAUUUAACCCAGUUAUCGCCGCUUUUAAUCUAUCCCACCUCUCUCUAGCCCUCUAAGACCAUCUUACCUCUUUCUUCUUUUGACAGUACAUCACCGAGUCGCUGCCUUCACUUUCCAAUUAGAUCGUCGACCAUCUUCAAAGGCCCUCUGUGUGGACGUGUGGAGUGAUUAAUGGCUGCGGAAGGCUCGCAAGGAGAAGCGACAAUAGAAAGAGUUUCUAGCUACCACGAGAAGAGCACGUUUCCAUUGAUAAUCUUUGACUCGAACAAACAGAAUGAGAAAAGCUUUCAGCAUGUAAGAUGUCGUUUUUGAAAUACAAAAUGAAUUAAAGAGAAUUUAGUUUUUGAGGAUGUAUGAAUUAAUGGUGUCUAUUUUAUGAAGUAAAUUCUAAUUUUUGAGGAUGUAUGGAUUAAUGGUGUCAAUUUCAUGAGGUUAACUCUAAAUAAACUCCAAAUUUGUAGUCUGCAGUCAACAUUUUCACCUAACAAAAUUUAAUGAGGCUAGGCAGUUGCAAACUGUCGGCCCAUUCCCAUUACAUAUUUACUAAGUUAAAGUGUUGAAAUAAAUACUUAUUUCUAAAUUUGAGUUUUCCAAAUUUUAUUACUAAUUCUUAUUUCAACUUUUAAUUAGGGUGACUUUUAUUAAUAAUCAAUUAAGUUUUGCGCAGUUACUUAGAAUAGAAAAAGAGAUUGGGGAUCAAGCAAGAUAUGUUGCCCAUCACUGGAGGCAUUUCUGAACAGUUUCAAUGAAAAGGUAGUAAUAAUAGUGUAAUACCAAUACCAGUUUGUUGUAUUGUAUUGUAAUCUUACUUUUCUAGAUUUGAUUUGACCUUAUAUAUCCUCAAUUUUCAUUUUAACAUGAAACCUUAUAUAUUUAAUCUCAUGAAUUCGUAAAUUAAUAACCUGAUGGCCUAAAAAUCCAUUUCUUUUGUCUAUCGUCGUAUGCAUUGAUUUUGUUUGUUUUUCAGGGAUGACAUCUGCACUGCUGGGAAAAAAAUUCAUUCUAGGUUGACAAUAUAAUAAGAGAUUUCAGAAACCAUGAGGCUUAUUCAAGUGAUUGUCUUACUAUUUAUUGUUGAUUCCAACCCAGUUUUCUGUAAUCCUAUUUGUUUAGAUUGAUAGAUAUAAUGUUUUCUCUUCCUUCACUGAUGAUAGUUUUUUUUCGUUUCAUGCAUGAUAAACUCUAGACUGCUUCAAAAAUGUUGAUGAACAGGUAAAAAAACAUCUAAUGUUUGUCGCCUUAACGCCUUUCAUACAUGAUAAACUCUGUUACUGACCUUCUUCACCUCACUUCUCAGUUCUUGGAUAACACCUUUCAUACAUGAUAAACUCUGUUCUUUCUUUUCUCAAGCAUCUAAAAAUCUAAAGAUUGGUUUUUCUGACAGAGACUGAUUUCUACAGGCUCCUUGGAGGGGUGAUUUUUUUUAUUCGGCUGUUGACGGAGGGUUAAUUCAGAUAAGGUGAUGUAGAAAUGGAAUAUGGUCGUCUGUUCUAGCUUACUAGGCAUUCAUGGUCGGAUCAAUCCAUAGGAGAAUCGCAACUUAAAAACGUCUGAUGAAAGAAACAUCCACCGACUCUAUGAAUUUUUUUAAUCGGCUUGAUUCUUUUAGUAUGCUAAUUUAAGCUUUUACUGAGUUUUAAGGACAAGGAAUUGGAAAGCUUAAAAGAAGUUGUAAUGAAGCGUGAUGAUAGAGGAGAGUCAAAGGGAAAGUUUGAGAUUACCUGUUACAAUCAAUGAGCAACAACUGACAAAUUUACCUAAUUUACCCUUGUAGGAUUUGCAAUUUUUCCUAUUCCUUCUAUCAGAUUGAUUUCCAUUUAGUUCUUUGGAUUUAGUUGUACCGAAUACAUAUCCGAUCCCCACAACGCGGGGAUCCUUCACUAGUUUAUCUUAUUUAAAUUGAUAGAAAUUGUUAUUUCUGAGGUUUUUAAUUGUCAUCGUACAAUGAGUGAGAUGGCAAACGGGCAACAAGCU